Molecule: long non-coding RNA, 402 nt
Filed under: Bos taurus (domestic cattle)
Lineage: Eukaryota; Metazoa; Chordata; Mammalia; Artiodactyla; Bovidae
Description: long non-coding RNA NONBTAT023660
Source: RNAcentral
GCCUAUCCCAAAGUUUUUCAUAUUCCUAUUUCUUGAAGCUGUAGGAUUCCAUGAAAUCAUUUGCAAGUAAAGUAGACUUUGAAUUUUUCAAUCUGAUUUUUUUAUAAUCUGUUUAUAUGAGACUAAUCUGUGCAAAUCUAAUUCCUUUCUCUUAUUCAGUCUCCUAAUUACUUUUUCAUCCUCACCACACUACUUUUGCUAUCUAUUUUGGCUACCAAUUAUAGUAUUUAUAUUAGAAAGUAAAUAAAGUGAGUGUUGCCACCUAUAGACAGAGAAUUAAUAUAAACAGAGUUCCUUUUUCCAUCUGGUACAACCAUCAUUUUCAAACUUGUUACUUAUUUACCUAUUGGUUGAUGUUGCCAUUUCAUAAGUCUUUGCAUUAAAGCAUUUAUUUAAAUUUCU